This 489-nucleotide ribosomal RNA is filed under the name Triticum aestivum (bread wheat). Its description in RNAcentral is "partial small subunit ribosomal RNA". Lineage: Eukaryota; Viridiplantae; Streptophyta; Magnoliopsida; Poales; Poaceae. The record is from RNAcentral.
AUGCCAGCACCCAAGGGGACGAGGAGGAGCCUCGUACUGAGGACCGUGGAGCGGUGCAAGUCCGGGACCGGGCGAAGCGGCGGCGCAGCGUCGGCGGUGGCCGCCGGGCGCUUCUCGGUGUACGUCGGGGCGGAGCGGGAGCGGUUCAUGGUGCGCACCGACUGCGCCAACCACCCGCUGUUCCGGCGGCUCCUCGACGACGCCGAGCGCGAGUACGGGUACGCGUCGCAGGGCCCGCUCGCGCUGCCGUGCGACGUCGGCACGUUCCUCGGCGUCCUGUGGCAGAUGGACCACGGACACCACCACGACGACGACGACGACAGUGCCGGCGGCGAGGAGAUCCGGGAGGCGGCGUCGCCGAUAUGCGGCUUGCUGCUGGGUGGCCGCGGCAAGUGCCGGGCGGCUGGGUACCGCCGGAUGCUCAGCCGGGCGAAGACGUCGUGGGCCACCGGGCAGCAGCUUCUCCCACGGUUCACACUUGGCAGUUAG